RNAcentral lists this ribosomal RNA (280 nucleotides) under uncultured bacterium. Its description in RNAcentral is "partial 16S ribosomal RNA". It matches the Rfam family "Bacterial small subunit ribosomal RNA", at positions 556 to 835 of the family's 1533-position model. The record is from RNAcentral.
GGGCGUAAAGCGUGCGCAGGCGGUCGUGCAAGACAGAUGUGAAAUCCCCGGGCUUAACCUGGGAACUGCGUUUGUGACUGCACGGCUGGAGUGCGGCAGAGGGGGAUGGAAUUCCGCGUGUAGCAGUGAAAUGCGUAGAUAUGCGGAGGAACACCGAUGGCGAAGGCAAUCCCCUGGGCCUGCACUGACGCUCAUGCACGAAAGCGUGGGGAACAAACAGGAUUAGAUACCCUGGUAGUCCACGCCCUAAACGAUGCGAACUGGAUGUUGGGUGCAACUA